Molecule: transfer RNA, 87 nt
Filed under: Nitrososphaerota archaeon
Lineage: Archaea; Thermoproteati; Nitrososphaerota
Description: tRNA-Leu
Rfam family: tRNA
About the family: Transfer RNA (tRNA) molecules are approximately 80 nucleotides in length. Their secondary structure includes four short double-helical elements and three loops (D, anti-codon, and T loops). Further hydrogen bonds mediate the characteristic L-shaped molecular structure. tRNAs have two regions of fundamental functional importance: the anti-codon, which is responsible for specific mRNA codon recognition, and the 3' end, to which the tRNAs corresponding amino acid is attached (by aminoacyl-tRNA synthetases). tRNAs cope with the degeneracy of the genetic code in two manners: having more than one tRNA (with a specific anti-codon) for a particular amino acid; and 'wobble' base-pairing, i.e. permitting non-standard base-pairing at the 3rd anti-codon position.
Source: RNAcentral
GGUGACGUAGCCAAGUGGACAACGGCAGGAGGUUCAGACCCUCCGGGCGAAGGCCCUACCCAGGUUCGAAUCCUGGCGUCAUCACCA